CCUACGGGUGGCAGCAGUGAGGAAUAUUGGUCAAUGGGCUUACGCCUGAACCAGCCAAGUCGCGUGAGGGAAGACUGCCCUAUGGGUUGUAAACCUCUUUUGUCAGGGAGCAACGCCGGCUACGUGUAGCCGGACUGAGAGUACCUGAAGAAAAAGCAUCGGCUAACUCCGUGCCAGCAGCCGCGGUAAUACGGAGGAUGCGAGCGUUAUCCGGAUUUAUUGGGUUUAAAGGGUGCGUAGGCGGAAUGCCAAGUCAGCUGUAAAAUCGCGCGGCUCAAACGCGCCCCGCAGUUGAAACUGGACGCCUUGAGUUCACAACAGGCAGGCGGAAGUCGUGGUGUAGCGGUGAAAUGCAUAGAUAUCACGAGGAACCCCGAUUGCGAAGGCAGCCUGCCGGGGUGCGACUGACGCUGAGGCUCGAAGGUGCGGGUAUCAAACAGGAUUAGAUACCCUUGUAGUC
This 460-nucleotide ribosomal RNA is filed under the name uncultured bacterium. Its description in RNAcentral is "partial 16S ribosomal RNA". It matches the Rfam family "Bacterial small subunit ribosomal RNA", at positions 338 to 795 of the family's 1533-position model. The record is from RNAcentral.